GUCAACGGAAGAGUCAGAACGACAGUUUAACUUAACGAUACGAUUCCACCGCGACCAAAAAGCAGGGCAGCUUCUGAAUGAAUCCACUCACUCAUUCCAGUCAUUCCCCCACCUGUCCCUGCGUUACCCGCACACAGAGCCUCUGCGUUCAGGCAGGACUAACCGUGCUGGCCCUGAGGGUCAGCUUUCACUCGGCGGCCUGGCUCGGGCCGCUGUGACAUUUCCCCUUGCUCCUGCGGACGCUGCUCUGAGGUACAUUCGACAAGGGUACUUGGGACAACGUUCGGCGCUGCUUUCACAUCCUGCUUGCCUUGAACUCUCUGCCCUGUAGCCACCGGAUUGCGGUAAGAUUUCCGUAUCGUCCUUUUUUGGGCCUCUGCUCACAGAGGGACUACGACCACCUAAGACAACCACGUGACCAGCUGGUGCAGAGAGACGGCUUGUGGGGAGCUUGGGCCGUCCCUGCGACGGGGGAGGGCUGGCGCCCACGCGGACGGGAGAUCCUUACACAAUCACCCGAGUUGCUCUGCGUCAGUGGCACAGGCAGACUGUAGCGUAAACAGAAGCAGGUCUGUGUUGUGACACAGCCCACAGCCAGCACCUGCACAGCCCGGGAGCCUGAGGCAGGUCUACACUGCAGGGGGUGCUACACAAAUCACUUUGUUCUCCCCAAAAAGAGCCAGCACCGUUCCCAGUGCUGCGUUCCCAGGCUGCUUGGAGCUCAGAGUUCAGAGCGGAGGGAGUUUGACAAGCACAUGAGCCUCGACUAUGUCUGACUCACUGCCUCUGUGCAGACGGGAUCUCUAACUGCUGAACAGCUGAGUGAGCUGCACACUUUCUCAGUUUCUCACACUCUGUUAUGUAAGUCGUUCAUUCACUCAAUCAUCCUAUUUCUGUCCUUAUGCCGAAGGGAGGGGUCAGCUGCUGCUUAGAGGUAUCUGCAUCGUCCCUCCGUCCCUCCCUCUUUCCUUCCAGUGAGAAAAAGUCACCAUCGCUAGUUAAGUACCCCCCCCACCCCCCGCACUGUUGACGAGGCUCUUCCUGUCAGAUCUUUAGUUGAUGUGAGAUUAAGGUAAGGGGACAAUUCUUGCAAAAACUCGUUUUUUCAGAGAGAAAUCAUGUCAUGGAUAUUCCAGAGGACAUUCUAGCUCUUUCCGUUUUGUUACCGAUUUAUGUUUUUUGACACAAAAACAAGCCUGAAUAAUGUUUGCUCAAGCUAAAGAAAGAUAAUACCAGCGAGUCCUGGAUGUUCUGGUUUAACAAGCAUCUGAAUUAAAAUGUAAAGAAGUAAUUUGUUCAAACUGUCUAUAUCCUCAUUUACGUUUCCUUGACCAACAUCGUCUAUUAAAUAAAGUAUUUGAUUAUAAUUGUCAA
Myotis davidii is the source of this 1374-nucleotide long non-coding RNA. RefSeq lists it as uncharacterized. The transcript has 3 exons. The record is from RefSeq and is a predicted model, not a curated record. Lineage: Eukaryota; Metazoa; Chordata; Mammalia; Chiroptera; Vespertilionidae.